This 589-nucleotide ribosomal RNA is filed under the name uncultured bacterium. RNAcentral describes it as "bacterial SSU rRNA". It matches the Rfam family "Bacterial small subunit ribosomal RNA", at positions 338 to 918 of the family's 1533-position model. The record is from RNAcentral.
CCUACGGGAGGCAGCAGUGGGAAUUUUGGACAAUGGGGCCAACCCUUGAUCCAGCCAUGCCGCGUGAGUGAAGAAGCCCUUCGGGUUGUAAAGCUCUUUCGGCGGGGAAGAAAUGGCAACGGCUAAUAUCCGUUGUUGAUGACGGUACCCGCAUAAGAAGCACCGGCCAACUACGUGCCAGCAGCCGCGGUAAUACGUAGGGUGCGAGCGUUAAUCGGAAUUACUGGGCGUAAAGCGUGCGCAGGCGGUUUCGUAAGACAGACGUGAAAUCCCCGGGCUCAACCUGGGAACUGCGUUUGUGACUGCGAGGCUAGAGUACGGCAGAGGGGGGUAGAAUUCCACGUGUAGCAGUGAAAUGCGUAGAGAUGUGGAGGAAUACCGAUGGCGAAGGCAGCCCCCUGGGUUAGUACUGACGCUCAUGCACGAAAGCGUGGGGAGCAAACAGGAUUAGAUACCCUGGUAGUCCACGCCCUAAACGAUGUCAACUAGGUGUUGGAAGGGUUAAACCUUUUAGUACCGCAGCUAACGCGUGAAGUUGACCGCCUGGGGAGUACGGCCGCAAGGUUAAAACUCAAAGGAAUUGACGGGG